GUGGGGAAUAUUGGACAAUGGGCGCAAGCCUGAUCCAACCAUGCCGCGUGAGUGAUGAAGGCCCUAGGGUUGUAAAGCUCUUUCACCGGAGAAGAUAAUGACGGUAUCCGGAGAAGAAGCCCCGGCUAACUUCGUGCCAGCAGCCGCGGUAAUACGAAGGGGGCUAGCGUUGUUCGGAAUUACUGGGCGUAAAGCGCACGUAGGCGGACAUUUAAGUCAGGGGUGAAAUCCCGGGGCUCAACCCCGGAACUGCCUUUGAUACUGGGUGUCUGGAGUAUGGAAGAGGUAAGUGGAAUUCCGAGUGUAGAGGUGAAAUUCGUAGAUAUUCGGAGGAACACCAGUGGCGAAGGCGGCUUACUGGUCCAUUACUGACGCUGAGGUGCGAAAGCGUGGGGAGCAAACAGGAUUAGAAACCCGGGUAGUCC
RNAcentral lists this ribosomal RNA (425 nucleotides) under uncultured bacterium. Its description in RNAcentral is "partial 16S ribosomal RNA". It matches the Rfam family "Bacterial small subunit ribosomal RNA", at positions 354 to 796 of the family's 1533-position model. The record is from RNAcentral.